This 317-nucleotide ribosomal RNA is filed under the name uncultured bacterium. RNAcentral describes it as "bacterial SSU rRNA". It matches the Rfam family "Bacterial small subunit ribosomal RNA", at positions 28 to 334 of the family's 1533-position model. The record is from RNAcentral.
GAUGAACGCUGGCGGCGUGCCUAAUACAUGCAAGUCGAGCGAGCGGAUAAGGAGCUUGCUCCUUUGAAGUUAGCGGCGGACGGGUGAGUAACACGUGGGUAACCUACCUAUAGGACUGGAAUAACUUCGGGAAACCGGAGCUAAUGCCGGAUAACAUUUGGAACCGCAUGGUUCUAAAGUAAAAGAUGGUUUUGCUGUCACUUAUAGAUGACCUUGCGGUGCAUUAGCUAGUUGGUGGGGUAAUAGCCUACCAAGGCCAUGAUGCAUAGCCGACCUGAGAGGGUGAUCGGCCACAUUGGGACUGAGACACGGCCCAA